This 253-nucleotide ribosomal RNA is filed under the name uncultured bacterium. Its description in RNAcentral is "partial 16S ribosomal RNA". It matches the Rfam family "Bacterial small subunit ribosomal RNA", at positions 524 to 776 of the family's 1533-position model. The record is from RNAcentral.
UACGGAGGGUGCAAACGUUGCUCGGAAUUAUUGGGCGUAAAGCGCACGUAGGCGGACUGUUAAGUCGGAUGUGAAAGCCCUCAGCUUAACUGAGGAAGUGCAUUCGAAACUGGCAGUCUUGAGUAUGGAAGAGGGUCGCGGAAUUCCCGGUGUAGAGGUGAAAUUCGUAGAUAUCGGGAGGAACACCCGUGGCGAAGGCGGCCUUCUGGGGCAUUCCUGACACUGAGAAGCGAAAGCUAGGGGAGCAAACAGG